AUGGCGAGCGUGUACAUACCGGUGCAGGGGACGGAGGAGGAGGUGCGGGUGGCGCUGGACCACCUCCCCGCCGACGCCUCCGACAUCCUCGACAUCCUCAAGGCCGAGCAAGCUCCGCUCCACCUCUGGCUCAUCAUCGCGAGAGAAUACUUCAAGCAAGGGAAGAUCGAACAGUUCCGACAGAUUUUAGAGGAAGGAUCUGGCCCAGAAAUCGAUGAUUAUUAUGCUGAUGUGAAGUACGAGCGGAUAGCCAUCCUUAAUGCUUUGGGUGCUUUUCAUACUUUCUUGGGAAAGGCUGAGAAAGCACCACAGAAGGAAGUGCAUUUCAAAGAUGCGACUCAGUACUACAAUAGGGCAUCGAGGAUAGAUGAAACUGAACCUUCUACAUGGAUUGGAAGAGGUCAACUCUGCGUGGCCAAGGGUGAGUUGCAAAUGGCAUCUGACUCAUUCAAGAUUGUUUUGGAUGAGGAUGGGGAUAAUUUUCCAGCCCUUCUUGGUCAGGCUUCUGUUUAUUUCCUGAUGGGUGAUACGGAACAACAACACAAGAAAGCUUUGGAAUGUUAUAAGAACUCACUAGAACUCUACAAGAGAGCCCUGCGGGGAUAUGCAGAUUGUCCUGCUGCUGUAAGGCUUGGUAUAGCCUUUUGUCGAUACAAACUUGGUCAGCUAGACCGGGCCCGACAAGCUUUUGAUCGAGUCUUACAGUUGGACCCUGAAAACUUUGAUGCGCUAGUAGCACUCGCGAUCAUGGACUUGCAAACAAAUGAAGCUGGUGAAAUUCGCAGUGGGAUGGAGAAAAUGAGAAGAGCCUUUGAAAUUUAUCCUUAUUGCACUUUGGCACUCAACCACCUGGCCAACCAUUAUUUCUUUACUGGCCAGCAUUUUGUGGUUGAGCAACUGAGUGAGACUGCUCUGUCUUCAAGCAGUCAUGGACUACUGAAAUCACAAUCCUACUAUAACUUAGCCAGAUCAUACCAUAGUAAGGGUGAUUUUGAGACUGCUGGACGGUAUUAUAUAGCAUCUGUCAAAGAAGUCAAUAAACCGCAAGACUUUGUGUUGCCAUUUGUUGGCCUUGGUCAAAUACAAUUAAAAUUCGGUGACUUCAAACGUUCCUUAGCUAGCUUCGAGAAAGUGCUGGAGGUACACCCUGAAAAUUGUGAAAGUUUGAAGGCUAUUGGGAACAUCUAUGCAAACUUGGGUGAGAAUGACAAAGCCAUAGAAACCUUUAAGAAGGUUACACGGAUUGAUCCAAAAGAUCACCAGGCAUUUGUUGAACUCGGUGAAUUGUUGGUAGAAUCUGAUUGGGCUGCUGCCAUGGAAUACUUAAAGACAGCAUGUACUCUCCUAAGGAAGGCAGGAGAGAAAAUACCGGUUGAAUUGCUCAAUGGAAUUGGACUUCUUUAUUUUGAGAAGGCAGAGUUUGAGUUGGCUGAGCAAAGUUUUAAGGAAGCUCUAGGAGACGGUAUCUGGGUUUCAAUUAUGGAUGGGACUGCUGGUAGUUCCAUAGCAAACUGGAGUGUGCAGUACAGGGAUCAGAGUUUUUUUCACCAACUUGAAGAAAGCGUACCUCUUGAAUUACCCUGCGAUAAAGUCACCACAUUGUUUAACUAUGCAAGAUUAUUGGAAGAGCUUCAUGAUACUGUGAAAGCCAGCCUCCUUUACCGUCUCAUUAUUUUCAAGUACCCGGACUACAUUGAUGCCUAUCUGAGGCUAGGGUCUAUUGCAAAAGAAAAAAACAAUAUUCAACUGAGCAUUGAGCUGAUAGGUGAUGCUCUAAAGAUAAAUAGUAAGUAUCCAAAUGCACUGUCUAUGCUUGGAAGUCUUGAACUCCAGAGUGAUGAAACCUGGCUCACUGCGAAGGAACAUUUCCGUGAUGCUAAAGAUGCUACUGACGGAAAAGACCCAUACUCUUGGCUUCAGCUGGGCAACUGGAACUACUUUGCUGCCAAUCGCCCUGAGAAGAAGGCCCCGAAAUUCGAGGCUACUCAUCGGGAGAAAGCAAAGGAACUUUUUUUGAAUGUACUAAAGCAGAACCAUGGUAAUAUGUUUGCUGCAAAUGGUCUUGGAAUCUUACAUGCUGAGAAAGCCCAAUGGGAUAUUGCGAAGGAGUUAUUUACACAGGUACAUGAAGCUGCAUCAGGAAGUAUAUUUGUUCAGGUACCUGAUGUAUGGAUCAAUUUGGCCCACAUAUAUUUUGCUCAAGGCCUGUUUCAACAAGCAGUUAAAAUGUACCAAAACUGUGCGCGGAAGUUCUUCUACAACACAGAUGCAACUACACUCCUAUACCUUUCCCGAACACAUUAUGAAGCUGAGCAAUGGCAAGACUGCCGGAAAUCUUUGCUGAGAGCUAUACAUUUGGCUCCAUCAAAUUAUUUAUUACGGUUUAAUGUUGGCGUUUCAAUGCAGAAGUUUUCUGCUUCUACUCUACAGAAGACAAAACGAACAGUUGAUGAGGUUCGUGCAACAGUCUCUGAACUUCAGAACGCCAUUAGAGUGUUCAGUCUGUUGUCUGUUGCAUCAACCUACCAUUCCCAUGGUUUUGAUGAGAGGAAAAUAGAAACUCAUGUCGAGUAUUGCAGACAUUUGCUUGAUGCUGCUAAGGUUCAUCGUGAUGCUGCUGAACAAGCUGAGAAGCAAACCAAGCAAAAAUUGGAAGUUACCCGUCAAAUUGCUUUAGCUGAUGAAGCUCGCCGGAGGGCUGAAGAGCAGAGGAAAUUCCAGUUAGAAAGAAGGAAGCAAGAGGACGAAUUAAAGCAAGUAAUGCAACAGGAGCAGCACUUUGAGCGUGUCAAGGAACAAUGGAAAACAUCCAACAACACCCCUGGUAAGAGAAAAGAUAGGUCCAGGAAUGAAGAUGAAGAUGGGGACAGUGGGAAGAAGAGGAGGAAGGGUGGCAAGAGAAGGAAGGAUCAGAAGACAAAGAUGCAAUACGAAGAUGAUGAAGAAGAUCAAUACAGAAAUGAACCAGACGAAGAUGAUUAUGCAAACAUGUCAAGGGAUCCUGGCGGUGACAAACCAGAGAAAGCCCCAGAUCACCUUCUUGCGGCUGCUGGUCUUGAGGAUUCUGACGCCGAAGAUGAAACGGGUCAUCCUCAAUCCGUGAUAGAGCGGAAGAGACGAGCAUGGUCAGAAUCUGACGACGAGGAACCAGUGCAGCGAUCAGUGCAACCUACUACUAGCCCAGGCCCGAAUGAUCUGAGUGAAUGA
RNAcentral lists this ribosomal RNA (3207 nucleotides) under Triticum aestivum (bread wheat). Its description in RNAcentral is "partial small subunit ribosomal RNA". The record is from RNAcentral. Lineage: Eukaryota; Viridiplantae; Streptophyta; Magnoliopsida; Poales; Poaceae.